GACGAACGCUGGCGGCGUGCUUAACACAUGCAAGUCGAACGGAAAGGCCCUGCUUUUGUGGGGUGCUCGAGUGGCGAACGGGUGAGUAACACGUGAGUAACCUGCCCUUGACUUUGGGAUAACUUCAGGAAACUGGGGCUAAUACCGGAUAGGAGCUCCUGCUGCAUGGUGGGGGUUGGAAAGUUUCGGCGGUUGGGGAUGGACUCGCGGCUUAUCAGCUUGUUGGUGGGGUAGUGGCUUACCAAGGCUUUGACGGGUAGCCGGCCUGAGAGGGUGACCGGCCACAUUGGGACUGAGAUACGGCCCAGACUCCUACGGGAGGCAGCAGUGGGGAAUAUUGCACAAUGGGCGGAAGCCGGAUGCAGCAACGCCGCGUGCGGGAUGACGGCCUUCGGGUGGUAAACCGCUUUCGCCUGUGACGAAGCGUGAGUGACGGUAAUGGGGAAAGAAGCACCGGCUAACUACGU
Molecule: ribosomal RNA, 467 nt
Filed under: uncultured bacterium
Lineage: Bacteria
Description: partial 16S ribosomal RNA
Rfam family: Bacterial small subunit ribosomal RNA
Source: RNAcentral